This is a long non-coding RNA of Raphanus sativus (radish), 1315 nucleotides long. RefSeq lists it as uncharacterized. Lineage: Eukaryota; Viridiplantae; Streptophyta; Magnoliopsida; Brassicales; Brassicaceae. The record is from RefSeq and is a predicted model, not a curated record. The transcript is spliced from 7 exons.
CCCUUAUCUUCUUCUUUCUUUCGAUUAUGGAAUUAGGGUUUCGAUCAUGGAAUUAGGGGUUUUUUUAAAUCUGUCUUAUUAUUAGUCUCUGGACUUUGUUCUUCAUCUCUCCGAUCCACAGAUGGCUCUGAGCGAGGGUUUAGGUACACUGUGAGAUCUUUCUGUAACAUACAUAACGAAAAGAUUGCUUGUUACGUCACUGUGAGAGGAGACAAGGCAAAUGCACCUUCUUGAGAGUGGCUUGAAAGUGAAGGAACACAGUUGAGGUCAUUUAUCUUGAAAUCAAGCAAAAAAUCAAAGAGCAUUGCCAAAGGCAAGGAGCUCAAGAAGAACGAGAAAUUGCUUCAACAGAUCGAAGCAGUCAAACCCCUGAGCUUGAUCUUGUUUGUACACUGUGAGAUCUCAUUGCUUGCUGAGAGGAGACAAGGCAAUGCAGCUUGGCUUUGAGAGUGGCUUGAAAGUGAAACAAUACUGAACUGUUGAUAGUAAUAGUUGACAUAUUUUGCUGGUUUGGUAUGAGGUUCAUUACAGGUGCAUUCUUGGAUCCGUGGUUAUGCUGCUGAUAUGAAUGAGUUUUUAACAGAACGUUUUACUUGCGAUCUUCUUCGUUGCCGCAAAGCUGCUUUUAGGGCAUUGUCCAAGACUCAAUUUUCUCUCCUUGCACCAAACAAAGAUGGCCUCAUCAGUUUAGAAAACAUUAGAUCGGUUCUAAACUGUUUUUAAAUUUCCCUUUUCUUCUCUCUAAAGGUGAUAUAGUCCCUGUUGCAUUUUAUUCUGUUUGGACAGAGGCUCUUUCAAGGGAAUGCAGCUUCUUGCUUUGCUGCAAUAAACGUUCAUCAACAUGAGUCGCUUGAUUGUCUGGAAGAGAGCAUACCUCAUGCUUAUGAGCUAUUUGAGAAGAAUGGAAACAGAGCCAUCGUCAUUAAAGAACUCGCUUCUGAACUUGGGAUUGGACCAGCUAUUACAGUACAUUCGGUUCUUCAUGAUUGGAUAAGACACACACACAGAUGGGAAACUUAGCUUCGUUGGGUUUGCUAAACUCUUACAUGGAGUCUCUGUUCGGCCAUCGGUGAAAAGUUAUGUAAUAAAAAGAAUAGGAAUCCUCAAAUAACAGACUUGGAGGUUUCUGAGAAUUGGAUUGUGUGAGUAAAUACAUUAAUGCUUAUUAAGAGGUGAUGAGUGUGUUUAUUGUUCUUCAUGUUUUGUAUUGACAAGUGUAGAAGAGAUUCCUUUUGUACUCUUUGAGGUGAGGAUCAUUUGUGUAAGACUGAGUAGUACAGUGGGAAGUUCACUACUGAGCUUGUUGGCCCCCCUA